AUCCAGCUGAUGAGUCUUGAAUGGGACGAAACACGAGUCCUGAAU
Molecule: non-coding RNA, 45 nt
Filed under: Schistosoma curassoni
Lineage: Eukaryota; Metazoa; Platyhelminthes; Trematoda; Strigeidida; Schistosomatidae
Source: RNAcentral